UUGAUAGGUCAGGUGUGUAAGUGCUGUGAGGCAUUGAGCUAACUGAUACUAAUUGCCCGUGAGGCUUGACCAUA
RNAcentral lists this ribosomal RNA (74 nucleotides) under Sinobacterium caligoides. RNAcentral's name for it is "partial 23S ribosomal RNA". Lineage: Bacteria; Pseudomonadati; Pseudomonadota; Gammaproteobacteria; Cellvibrionales; Spongiibacteraceae. The record is from RNAcentral.